UCUACGGGAGGCAGCAGUGAGGAAUAUUGGUCAAUGGGCGAGAGCCUGAACCAGCCAAGUCGCGUGAAGGAUGACUGCCCUAUGGGUUGUAAACUUCUUUUAUAUGGGAAUAAAGUGAGGAACGUGUUCCUUUUUGUAUGUACUAUAUGAAUAAGCAUCGGCUAACUCCGUGCCAGCAGCCGCGGUAAUACGGAGGAUCCGAGCGUUAUCCGGAUUUAUUGGGUUUAAAGGGUGCGUAGGUGGUUUGUUAAGUCAGCGGUGAAAGUUUGUGGCUCAACCAUAAAAUUGCCGUUGAGACUGGUUGACUUGAGUACAGUUGAGGUAGGCGGAAUGCGUGGUGUAGCGGUGAAAUGCAUAGAUAUCACGAAGAACUCCGAUUGCGAAGGCAGCUUACUAAACUGGAACUGACACUGAAGCUCGAAAGUGUGGGGAUCAAACAGGAUUAGAUACCCCUGUAGUC
Molecule: ribosomal RNA, 460 nt
Filed under: uncultured bacterium
Lineage: Bacteria
Description: partial 16S ribosomal RNA
Rfam family: Bacterial small subunit ribosomal RNA
Source: RNAcentral